GGAGUCCUCUGGGCUUGAAGAAGAUGCCACUGAUGGUAAAAUUCCUCCCUGGGUGCACAUGUUGCUGAAAAGGUAGAACAAGACAAAGGAAUCAGGGAUCGUUCUUCCGAAAACUCUCAGCAGUUUGGAGACAGCCCGAGGCGGAGUCAGCGGAACAGGUGUGCAUGGGCACGGGACACUGGUGCGCUGCAUGCAGUAGAUGUUCAAUAAAGACAACCGAUUGAAGAUGAUUGCAAGGGUCAAGAUGAAGUCACCAGCAGUGAGAAACUGGGAAGAGUGGGAGAAGUGAUUAGUACGGUGUGUUUUACACAACGUCUUGGACAUCUGCCUCAGCAUGCCUGACAAGGACAUUCAUUAAUUCCUAACAGUUCAUCCAGCAGAUCUUUACUGACAUCACUUAGGACAGGAGGCCUGGCAAAAGCUGGUUGUCCAAGAGGAAUUCAGGACCUUAAGAAGAGAACUGAAAGCAUCCAGGGUUCACUUUUUCCCCACUGCUUUUGUACCUGAAGGAACGGGACUUCUUUCGAGGACUAAAACAGAAAAAGCACUCUUCCUCUUUCGCCCUUUGCUUUUGUACCUGAAGGAACAGGACUCCUUUUGAGAACUAAAACAGGGGCUUCAAAUAUUCAGACAUCCAAUGGAUAGUCAGCCAUCUCCAGUGGAGCCUGGACAUUACUUGCCUUCAAUUGAGGUACCAAGCACUGGCAUCGGUGGGUGGCAUUUUGAAAAGUGGCAAAUUCAGAGUUUCCUUCAGCUUCAAUGGUUUGAUGACUCCUCCACCGCACCUCUCUCAGCGAUUCACGCAACACCAAAUGAAACAUUGAGAGCAAGACCUCGGCAAUACAACAAACCCAUGUGGAAUCGACUGUCUGUGUGAAAGGAAAAGAACACUCCGAGGCCAUAUAUUUGUGCUGAUCUUGUUGCGAUGUGCUCGAGAGUCUAAAGCAGAGAGCUCGUUCCCUCCCUUGAGGCCCCCUUUACUCCUUCCUCUCCCUCCCGCCCCACCCGCCCCGUCCU
This is a long non-coding RNA of Tachyglossus aculeatus (Australian echidna), 1017 nucleotides long. RefSeq lists it as uncharacterized. The record is from RefSeq and is a predicted model, not a curated record. Lineage: Eukaryota; Metazoa; Chordata; Mammalia; Monotremata; Tachyglossidae. The transcript has 9 exons.